RNAcentral lists this ribosomal RNA (465 nucleotides) under uncultured bacterium. RNAcentral describes it as "partial 16S ribosomal RNA". It matches the Rfam family "Bacterial small subunit ribosomal RNA", at positions 338 to 795 of the family's 1533-position model. The record is from RNAcentral.
CCUACGGGAUGCUGCAGUAGGGAAUCUUCCACAAUGGGCGAAAGCCUGAUGGAGCAACGCCGCGUGGGUGAAGAAGGUCUUCGGAUCGUAAAACCCUGUUGUUAGAGAAGAAAGUGCGUGAGAGUAACUGUUCACGUUUCGACGGUAUCUAACCAGAACGCCACGGCUCACUACGUGCCAGCAGCCGCGGUAAUACGUAGGUGGCAAGCGUUAUCCGGAUUUGUUGGGCGUAAAGGGAACGCAGGCGGUCUGUUAAGUCUGAUGUGAAAGCCUUCGGCUUAACCGGAGUAGUGCAUUGGAAACUGGGAGACUUGAGUGCAGAAGAGGAGAGUGGAACUCCAUGUGUAGCGGUGAAAUGCGUAGAUAUAUGGAAGAACACCAGUGGCGAAAGCGGCUCUCUGGUCUGUAACUGACGCUGAGGUUCGAAAGCGUGGGUAGCAAACAGGAUUAGAUACCCUUGUAGUC